GUACUGGAGGUCCGAACCGACUAGUGUUGCAAAACUAGCGGAUGAGCUGUGGAUAGGGGUGAAAGGCUAAACAAACUUGGAAAUAGCUGGUUCUCUCCGAAAACUAUUUAGGUAGUGCCUCAAGUAUUACCGUCGGGGGUAGAGCACUGUUUUGGCUAGGGGGUCAUGGCGACUUACCAAACCAAUGCAAACUCCGAAUACCGACGAGUACAGCUUGGGAGACAGAGCACCGGGUGCUAACGUCCGGACUCAAGAGGGAAACAACCCAGACCGCCAGCUAAGGUCCCUAAAAUUGGCUAAGUGGGAAACGAAGUGGGAAGGCUAAAACAGUCAGGAUGUUGGCUUAGAAGCAGCCAUCAUUUAAAGAAAGCGUAAUAGCUCACUGAUCGAGUCGUCCUGCGCGGAAGAUGUAACGGGGCUAAGCCAGUUACCGAAGCUGCGGAUUUGCGAGCAAUCGCAAGUGGUAGGAGAGCGUUCUGUAAGCCUGUGAAGGUGGCUUGUAAAGGCUGCUGGAGGUAUCAGAAGUGCGAAUGCUGACAUGAGUAGCGUUAAAGCGGGUGAAAAGCCCGCUCGCCGUAAGCGCAAGGUUUUCUACGCAACGUUCAUCGGCGUAGAGUGAGUCGGCCCCUAAGGCGAGGCAGAGAUGCGUAGCUGAUGGGAAACAGGUCAAUAUUCCUGUACCGAUGUGUAGUGCGAUGUGGGGACGGAUCUUAAUAAGUCAUCCGGGUGUUGGAUAUCCCGGUUUAGCUGGAUGUAGGCGAUGGGUAGGCAAAUCCGCCCGUCAUAUACCGAGGCCAGCGAUCGAGCAAGCUUGCUUGCGAAGUGACCGAACGAGGUUCCAGGAAAAGCCACUAAGCUUCAGCUGCACACGACCGUACCGCAAACCGACACUGGUGCGCGAGAUGAGUAUUCUAAGGCGCUUGAGAGAACUCGGGAGAAGGAACUCGGCAAAUUGACACCGUAACUUCGGAAGAAGGUGUGCCCUAUUAGUGUGAAGCGAACAGCGGAGCAUGAACGGGUUGCAAAGAAUCGGUGGCUGCGACUGUUUAUUAAAAACACAGCACUCUGCAAACACGAAAGUGGACGUAUAGGGUGUGACGCCUGCCCGGUGCUGGAAGAUUAAAUGAUGGGGUGCAAGCUCUUGAUUGAAGUCCCAGUAAACGGCGGCCGUAACAAUAACGGUCCUAAGGUAGCGAAAUUCCUUGUCGGGUAAGCUCCGACCUGCACGAAUGGCGUAACGACGGCCACACUGUCUCCUCCCGAGACUCAGCGAAGUUGAAAUGUUUGUGAUGAUGCAAUCUCCCCGCGGAAAGACGGAAAGACCCCAUGAACCUUUACUGUAGCUUUGUAUUGGACUUUGAACAGAUCUGUGUAGGAUAGGUGGGAGGCUUUGAAGCAGGGUCGCUAGAUCUUGUGGAGCCAACGUUGAAAUACCACCCUGGUGUGUUUGAGGUUCUAACCUAGGUCCAUC
RNAcentral lists this ribosomal RNA (1471 nucleotides) under metagenome. RNAcentral describes it as "bacterial LSU rRNA". It matches the Rfam family "Bacterial large subunit ribosomal RNA", at positions 763 to 2237 of the family's 2925-position model. The record is from RNAcentral.